Molecule: ribosomal RNA, 323 nt
Filed under: uncultured bacterium
Lineage: Bacteria
Description: bacterial SSU rRNA
Rfam family: Bacterial small subunit ribosomal RNA
Source: RNAcentral
UCAUCAUGCCCCUUAUGACCUGGGCUACACACGUGCUACAAUGGACGGUACAACGAGAAGCGAACCUGCGAAGGCAAGCGGAUCUCUGAAAGCCGUUCUCAGUUCGGACUGUAGGCUGCAACUCGCCUACACGAAGCUGGAAUCGCUAGUAAUCGCGGAUCAGCACGCCGCGGUGAAUACGUUCCCGGGCCUUGUACACACCGCCCGUCACAUCAUGAGAGUCUGUAACACCCAAAGCCGGUGGGAUAACCUUUAUAGGAGUCAGCCGUCUAAGGUAGGACAGAUGAUUAGGGUGAAGUCGUAACAAGGUAGCCGUAGGAGAA